AAAAAAAGAUCUUGCUUUGCCAAGCCUAUGCAUCUCUUCUCUUGGUAGAACUCUGCAUGUCUUUAUCUCUCUAAAACUUUCCUUCUCUUUGUAUUUAUGGAAUGUUUCCAGGUCAUUAAUGCCUACACGCACACCUAUGUAACCAAACUGGAAACAGAAGAUGUAACUGUAACUUUUCGUGUCAUAUCUGAUAAACAUCUUCUGUUUUUUGGAUUUGAGAAUAAUUUUUGCAGUUUUGUAAUGAGUGGAAACAUGAAUAAAAAAAGGUCACUUAAAAUUUAACCUUACCAUCUAGCAGAGUGAAGGUAUGCUUUCUUAAUGGCAUUGUUGGUCAAAAGAAG
Molecule: non-coding RNA, 341 nt
Organism: Pelobates cultripes (western spadefoot toad)
Lineage: Eukaryota; Metazoa; Chordata; Amphibia; Anura; Pelobatidae
Source: the annotation of a GenBank genome assembly